Molecule: ribosomal RNA, 482 nt
Filed under: uncultured bacterium
Lineage: Bacteria
Description: partial 16S ribosomal RNA
Rfam family: Bacterial small subunit ribosomal RNA
Source: RNAcentral
AUUGAACGCUGGCGGCAUGCCUUACACAUGCAAGUCGAACGGUAACGGGCCUUCGGGUGCCGACGAGUGGCGAACGGGUGAGUAAUACAUCGGAACGUGCCCGAUCGUGGGGGAUAACGAGGCGAAAGCUUUGCUAAUACCGCAUACGAUCUACGGAUGAAAGCAGGGGACGGGAAGGGCUAGCGCGGGCGGAGCGGGCGGGGGCAGAGUAGUUAGUUGGUGGGGUAAAAGCUUACCAAGCCGACGAUCUGUAGCGGGUCUGAGAGGAUGAGCGGCCACACUGGGACUGAGACACGGCCCAGGCUCCUGCGGGAGGCAGCAGUGGGGAAUUUUGGACAAAGGGCGCAAGCCUUAUCCAGCCAUGCCGCGUGCAGGAUGAAGGCCUUCGGGUUGUAAACUGCUUUUGUACGGAACGAACCGCCUUCUUUUAAUACAGGAGGGUCAUGACGGUACCGUAAGAAUAAGCACCGGCUAACUACGUG